ACUGUCUUGUUUUUGAAAUCAAAGAUCAUUUUCAUUGUUUUGUUUUGUUUUUUCAUUUUAUUCUUCAAAAUUUAAAAACAAAAUCUCUCACUAAGCCUAUAAUCCAUUUUCUGGUUUAGAAGAUAUCACUAUGUUGAUUUGAGACUUAGAAAAGCACUCCCGGGGUAGCAGAAACUUGGAGAAUAUGGUAUAAAAGAGUCUCCUGCAUCUCUAGGGCAAAUGACGCACAUAAAGAGCAGAAACAGUGGUUUUGGCAACAGUCCCCCUGUCCUGUACCCUCGGGAAGACACGAAUGGCGCUAACAGGAACCCACCCCGGUGCAGCAUUCACAGCCAGCCAGCUCUGUGCCUGUCAGUCCUGCGCCCAGCCACAGCCACUCACUGUUCUGUGUUCUGUUUCCCCUCGGCAUGGGACAGCAGAGGUGCUGACGACCAGCCAACCAACUGGAUAGUGAAUGAGUCUAUGCUCCAAGGGAGAAGGUAAGUCCUGGAGCUUUGUCAGCUUUGGGGAGAAACAACGCAAGCUCUACCAACUCCAA
Molecule: long non-coding RNA, 538 nt
Filed under: Cavia porcellus (domestic guinea pig)
Lineage: Eukaryota; Metazoa; Chordata; Mammalia; Rodentia; Caviidae
Description: lncRNA (ENSCPOG00000039720.1)
Source: RNAcentral